CAGCCGCCACGGUAAUACGUAGGUGGCAAGCGUUGUCCGGAAUUAUUGGGCGUAAAGGGCCCGCAGGCGGUUUCUUAAGUCUGAUGUGAAAGCCCCCGGCUCAACCGGGGAGGGUCAUUGGAAACUGGGAAACUUGAGUGCAGAAGAGGAGAGUGGAAUUCCACGUGUAGCGGUGAAAUGCGUAGAGAUGUGGAGGAACACCAGUGGCGAAGGCGACUCUCUGGUCUGUAACUGACGCUGAGGAGCGAAAGCGUGGGGAGCGAACAGGAUUAGAUACCCCUGUAGUCCCUGUCUCUUAUAC
Molecule: ribosomal RNA, 301 nt
Filed under: uncultured bacterium
Lineage: Bacteria
Description: partial 16S ribosomal RNA
Rfam family: Bacterial small subunit ribosomal RNA
Source: RNAcentral